RNAcentral lists this ribosomal RNA (468 nucleotides) under uncultured bacterium. RNAcentral's name for it is "partial 16S ribosomal RNA". It matches the Rfam family "Bacterial small subunit ribosomal RNA", at positions 28 to 507 of the family's 1533-position model. The record is from RNAcentral.
GACGAACGCUGGCGGCGUGCUUAACACAUGCAAGUCGAACGGAAAGGCCCUGCUUUUGUGGGGUGCUCGAGUGGCGAACGGGUGCGUAACACGUGAGUAUCCUGCUCUUGACUUUGGGAUAACUUCAGGAAACUGGGGCUAAUACCGGAUCGGAGCUCCUGCUGCAUGGUGGGGGUUGGAAAGUUUCGGCGGUUGGGGAUGGACUCGCGGCUUAUCAGCUUGUUGGUGGGGUAGUGGCUUACCAAGCCUUUGACGGGUAGCCGGCCUGAGAGGGUGACCGGCCACAUGGGGACUGAGAGACGGCCCAGACUCCUACGGGAGGCAGCAGUGGGGAAUAUGGCACAAUGGGCGGAAGCCUGAUGCAGCAACGCCGCGGGCGGGAUGACGGCCUGCGGGGUGUAAACAGCUUUCGCCUGUGACGAAGCGUGAGUGACGGUAAUGGAUAAAGAAGCACCGGCUAACUACGUG